Molecule: long non-coding RNA, 283 nt
Organism: Hemiscyllium ocellatum (epaulette shark)
Lineage: Eukaryota; Metazoa; Chordata; Chondrichthyes; Orectolobiformes; Hemiscylliidae
Exons: 3
Source: RefSeq, a predicted model, not a curated record
GGAGAUAUCUGAUGAUGGGAUCAAGUCAGUAGAAUCAAGUCUGCAAAAUGGAAGAAUUUCUCAUCUAAGGGACAAGGGACUUUUUUCACCAGUCAAGUUGGAAUUCACAUAUCUGGAUUCCUAUUAUCAUGGCAUGGUUUCUUCCACAAUUCUGUCUGCAGCCAGUGGUCAGUCACUGUGCACCAGAGAUGCUGCUGGACUUGCUAAAUUUCUCCAAUACUCCCAGUGUUCGUUAUAGCAUUCGCAAGGCUCUACCUGAUGGUGUUCUACCCGUUAGAACUGA